This 382-nucleotide ribosomal RNA is filed under the name fungal sp. Cul1_28. RNAcentral describes it as "eukaryotic LSU rRNA". It matches the Rfam family "Eukaryotic large subunit ribosomal RNA", at positions 38 to 422 of the family's 3401-position model. The record is from RNAcentral. Lineage: Eukaryota; Fungi.
GCAUAUCAAUAAGCGGAGGAAAAGAAACCAACAGGGAUUGCCCCAGUAACGGCGAGUGAAGCGGCAACAGCUCAAAUUUGAAAUCUGGCCCCUAGGGUCCGAGUUGUAAUUUGUAGAGGAUGCUUUUGGUGAGGUGCCGCCCGAGUUCCCUGGAACGGGACGCCGCAGAGGGUGAGAGCCCCGUCUGGCUGGCCACCGAGCCUCUGUAAAGCUCCUUCGACGAGUCGAGUAGUUUGGGAAUGCUGCUCAAAAUGGGAGGUAUAUGUCUUCUAAAGCUAAAUAUUGGCCAGAGACCGAUAGCGCACAAGUAGAGUGAUCGAAAGAUGAAAAGCACCUUGAAAAGAGGGUUAAACAGUACGUGAAAUUGUUGAAAGGGAAGCGC